CUUUGAAUCCUGGAGUACGAAUUCUCCUUUUCAGUAAGAAUGAAAAAAAGGAAAAAAAAAAGCAAUGUAAACGAACUCGUGGCGGUGUCUAAUGCUAACACUAAUCAAGUUCUCAAUAAGUAUUAAAGAGGAAGAAAUGCUUUUAUCGUCUAGAGAUAACAUUCUGCAAGAUUUAGUGAUGAUGAAGUGAUAAAAUGUGCGAUUAAUUCCAGAAUAAUGAGAGGUGGGGCAUGGAUUAGAAGAAUCAAGAUUGGGUACAUGGGGGUGGGUGAUCAUUAUACCAUUCUUCCUAUUUUGUAUUGAAUUUUUCCAUAAUAAAAAUGUUGAAAAAC
Molecule: long non-coding RNA, 332 nt
Organism: Sus scrofa (pig)
Lineage: Eukaryota; Metazoa; Chordata; Mammalia; Artiodactyla; Suidae
Source: RefSeq, a predicted model, not a curated record